AAUGUAUAAAAUAAUCUUGACUAUCGAUUGAUCUAGCAAACGAAACAGCAAGUCUUGUAUUUCUGCACGGUUUUCGAAUAGAAUCGUCUUUAUGUUGCUUAAACAUUCAGUAUGCACAUAGCAAGCCCUUUUCUAAACUUCGCUUUCAUUUUCAAAAACCGCAAUUAUUAUCUUUUGUACAUCAUCAGCUGGAUUUAAGUAAUGUAAUCAUUACGCUCUCUCAAAUACUUGUAACGAUUUCGACAAAAAAUGAUUAAUUGAUGAAAAGUCAAGUUGAGUUUUUGAACACGCUAUGUUGUUAAAAAUAUUAUUCUGGUUUGUCUGGCAGUACAAUUGGAACAAUAUAUGUUAAAUGCAAUAAUACAUUCGCGAUGAAGGACUUUCAAGUACAUGGCUAUUUUGUGAAUUCCUGUGUUUUCUCGAUUGUUAAAACAAGGAGAUUUUUGGCAUAUUUGAAUUAAACUUGCCAUUUCAUAAGAAAUUUCUAUAUUUAAUAUUAAUAAAGUUUUUGGGCGUUCCUUUUUCCGCUAUUUGCUAGCUCUUCUAUACUUUGUUUACACUUUUAAAUGUUUGACAUAUAUGCUGCUAAUCCUCAAAUCGCCUCAAUGAAUUCUUUUUAAACCAAAAAGAAA
Non-coding RNA from Schizosaccharomyces pombe (fission yeast), 632 nucleotides. NCBI's taxonomy places the organism in Eukaryota, Fungi, Ascomycota, Schizosaccharomycetes, Schizosaccharomycetales, Schizosaccharomycetaceae. The record is from the annotation of a GenBank genome assembly.